This 433-nucleotide long non-coding RNA is filed under the name Elaeis guineensis (African oil palm). RNAcentral's name for it is "long non-coding RNA (EGUI_LNC010817)". Lineage: Eukaryota; Viridiplantae; Streptophyta; Magnoliopsida; Arecales; Arecaceae. The record is from RNAcentral.
UGUAUAUUGGUUUUAGUGGAUUCAGGUUCACUGUUAAGAGUAGGAUGUACCUACAUAAAAUCUAUCGAUCUUGAUAGAAAAAGAAAAGUCCUAUGCGAUUUGCAAGACUGAGUUCAGAAAGUCUUCGAUCGAAAUAAGUAUGAAUAUUGAAAAGACGUUUUCACAGAAUUUACAAGUGAACUCGAGUUGAGCCAAUCUGAGAUAUGACUGAUGUUGGAUUUGAUGAGUUCUCCAUGAUCUUCGUCGAGUCGGGACUCACGAUAGAAGGAUUGAAUCAUAUGAUAACUACACCUAUAGAUUUACUACUUCUAUUCUGCUGGGUUGCAACUACAUACUGCUAUGCAUCACUGGUAGAUUGUGGACUUAUCAAGUAUCGUCUUGAUGAUCGGUGAUCCUCGAAGGACAGUUGAAAUUGUUUCAAUCUAUCGAAAGA